Molecule: ribosomal RNA, 538 nt
Filed under: uncultured fungus
Lineage: Eukaryota; Fungi
Description: eukaryotic LSU rRNA
Rfam family: 5.8S ribosomal RNA (bases 178-331)
Source: RNAcentral
UCCAACCCAUGUGACUUACCACUGUUGCCUCGGCAGAUGUUGCUGGGCGAACCUACCUUGUAGCGAGCUACUCUGUAGCGACCUACCCGGGAACGGCUUACCCUGUAGCGCCUGCCGGUGGACUACUAAACUCUUGUUAUUUUUAAGUAAUCUGAGCGUCUUAUUUUAAUAAGUCAAAACUUUCAACAACGGAUCUCUUGGUUCUGGCAUCGAUGAAGAACGCAGCGAAAUGCGAUAAGUAAUGUGAAUUGCAGAAUUCAGUGAAUCAUCGAAUCUUUGAACGCACAUUGCGCCCAUUGGUAUUCCUUUGGGCAUGCCUGUUCGAGCGUCAUUUAAACCUUCAAGCUCAGCUUGGUGUUGGGUGACUGUCCACUGCCCCUCGGGGCGGCGGACUCGCCUCAAAAUUAUUGGCGGCCGGUACAUUGGCUUCGAGCGCAGCAGAAACGCGAACUCGGGGCUGUUGUGCUGGCUCCCAGAAGCCAUCUUCACAAUUUUGACCUCGGAUCAGGUAGGGAUACCCGCUGAACUUAAGCAUAUC